AUCGCAGGUCACCCGAAUCCCAACUUUCUUGGUCUUCAAUUUUCCCAUCUUCACCACUACUUUGGUGUCCAGCUGAACCUUGAGCGCCGCCACACCAUUUUUCUUCUUCAGAUCGGAUCUGAGCCCAUUGACCGACUCGGAAUCAAGUUCAUUGGAGCCUGAAACAACCACGUUCCUAAGGCUGGUCUCGUUCUUGGUGGUCAGCGGAAACCCCAUUACAGUCCCGUUCCCGAGAAAAACAUCGCUGGAUAAGGAGGUGAUAGUGAAAGGGUCGUAGAAGAAAGAGAGAUGGGAAUUGGGG
This 301-nucleotide long non-coding RNA is filed under the name Linum usitatissimum (flax). RNAcentral's name for it is "long non-coding RNA (LUSI_LNC000931)". The record is from RNAcentral. Lineage: Eukaryota; Viridiplantae; Streptophyta; Magnoliopsida; Malpighiales; Linaceae.